UUAAAAUUUUCAAGGUCAAGUAAAUCUAUUUGAACGUAUCUCCGCUGCUAUUGUGGUUACGAAGACAAUUCGGUGAGCGUUAUACACCACAUUUCAUUCUUUAUACAGGGCACAUCGUUCGGUUUGCACUAUGUUAACUGUCUUUCCUGUCAAAUCCAGUGCAGUUAUAGUUUUUAAAUUAUCAAUGCCAAAUAAAUCUAACAGAACGUAUCUCCGCUGCAAUUGGGGUUACGAAGACAAUUCGGAGCGCGUUAUACUCCACAUUUCGUUCUUUGUACAGGGCACAUCGUUCGGAUUGCCCUAUGUUAACUGUCUUCCCUGUCAAAUCCAGUGCAAUUAUAGUUUUAAAAUUUUCAAGGUCAAGUAAAUCUAUUUGAACGUACCUCCGCAGCUAUUGCGGUUACGAAGACAAUUCGGAGCGCGUUUUACUCUACAUUUGAUUCUUUAUACAGGGCACAUCGUUCGGUUUGCGCUAUGUUAACGCUCUUGCCUGUCAAUUAUAGUGCAAUUAUAGUUUAAAUUUUUCAAGGCCAAAUAAAUCUAAUUGAUCGUAUCUCCGCCGCCAUUGGAGUUGCGAUGACAUUUCGAUGCGCGUUAUACUCCACAUUUCAUUCUUUAUACAGGGCACAUCGUUCGGAUUGCCCUAUGUUAACUGUCUUCCCUGUCAAAUCCAGUGCAAUUAUAGUUUUAAAAUUUUCAAGGCCAAAUAAAUCUAUAUGAACGUACCUCCGCAGCUAUUGCGGUUACGAAGACGAUUCGGAGCGCGUUUUACUCCACAUUUGAUUCUUUAUACAGGGCACAUCGUUCGGUUUGCCCCAUGUCAACACUCUACCCUGUUAAUUCCAGUGCAAUUAUAGUUUUAAAAUUUUCAAGGCCAAAUAAAUCUAAUUGAUCGUAUCUCCUCCGCCAUUGGGGUUACGAAGACAA
Bombus pyrosoma is the source of this 927-nucleotide long non-coding RNA. RefSeq lists it as uncharacterized. The transcript has 2 exons. Lineage: Eukaryota; Metazoa; Arthropoda; Insecta; Hymenoptera; Apidae. The record is from RefSeq and is a predicted model, not a curated record.